This 429-nucleotide unclassified non-coding RNA is filed under the name Hevea brasiliensis (rubber tree). Lineage: Eukaryota; Viridiplantae; Streptophyta; Magnoliopsida; Malpighiales; Euphorbiaceae. The record is from RNAcentral.
GCCUCCCUUGUUUUUCUAACUACAACCUUUAUUUUUCGUACUAUAUAACAACUCAACUACAUAGCACGAAAAUAAUCAAGUAAAAAUUAAAAAAUGGCACAUACUAGUAACACGAUAUCGUUGUGUCUCCUUAUAGUUCAAUUAUUUUUCAUGUUACUUGCUAAAGCAAACGCGAAAAUUCCAGCGAUAAUUGUAUUUGGCGAUUCAUCAGUGGAUUCAGGCAAUAACAAUCAUAUUCAGACGAUUGCUCGGAGCAAUUUUAUGCCGUACGGACGGGAUUUUGCGGGGGGUCGACCGACCGGUCGAUUUUCUAACGGGAGAAUUACGACUGAUUUUAUUUCGGAGGCAGCUGGUUUGAAACAAAUUGUUCCAGCAUAUUUGGAUCCAGCUUAUAAUAUGUCUGAUUUUGCUGUUGGAGUUAGUUUUGCU